Molecule: ribosomal RNA, 244 nt
Filed under: uncultured bacterium
Lineage: Bacteria
Description: partial small subunit ribosomal RNA
Rfam family: Bacterial small subunit ribosomal RNA
Source: RNAcentral
AGAAUCAACGCUGGCGGCGUGCCUAACACAUGCAAGUCGCACGAGAAAGGGGAGCAAUCCCUGAGUAAAGUGGCGCACGGGUGAGUAACACGUGAAUAAUCUACCUCCGAGUGGGGAAUAACUGAGAGAAAUCUUAGCUAAUACCGCAUAACACUUACGAGUCAAAGCAGCAAUGCGCUUGGAGAGGAGUUCGCGGCCGAUUAGUUAGUUGGCGGGGUAAUGGCCACCAAGACGAUGAUCGGUA